This 303-nucleotide ribosomal RNA is filed under the name uncultured bacterium. Its description in RNAcentral is "partial 16S ribosomal RNA". It matches the Rfam family "Bacterial small subunit ribosomal RNA", at positions 507 to 807 of the family's 1533-position model. The record is from RNAcentral.
AGCAGUAGCCGCGGUAAUACGGAGGGUGCGAGCGUUAAUCGGAAUUACUGGGCGUAAAGCGUACGCAGGCGGUUUGUUAAGUCAGAUGUGAAAUCCCCGAGCUUAACUCGGGAACUGCAUUUGAAACUGGCAGGCUAGAGUCUCGUAGAGGGGGGUAGAAUUCCAGGUGUAGCGGUGAAAUGCGUAGAGAUCUGGAGGAAUACCGGUGGCGAAGGCGGCCCCCUGGACGAAGACUGACGCUCAGGUACGAAAGCGUGGGGAGCAAACAGGAUUAGAGACCCCAGUAGUCCCUGUCUCUUAUAC